RNAcentral lists this long non-coding RNA (1082 nucleotides) under Lepeophtheirus salmonis (salmon louse). RNAcentral describes it as "uncharacterized LOC121120549". Lineage: Eukaryota; Metazoa; Arthropoda; Copepoda; Siphonostomatoida; Caligidae. The record is from RNAcentral.
CAAAUUUGAAUGCUAAAUAACUUUGAGCAAUUUCAAAUGGCUUAAUCUUUACUGAUAAAAGUUAAAAAUCUAAGAUUUUUAUUAACUUAAAUUUAUUGUCGUAUCUAAUACUUUUUCUUUUUCUUUUGAUUUUAGGUGAGUGUUGUACCUAUUAGUAUAUUAUUAAUUGUUAUAUUUUAAACGUCUCAAUAAACAAAUAUCUGAAAAUAUCCAAGUUUUUUUAUUCAGGCAUGAGUGCCAUUUUUCAGUUCCUCUUCAUAUUUAGCACGAGGGUAGUUUGCAUCCGGUGUCGAGAAGGAAGAAUUUUUAGCCUUUGAAUCUAAAAAGAACGUUAAAUUUGACAAAGUGGGUGUCUUGAUUCUCAUAUCAUUAUGAUUGAACUACUUAAGUUAGGAUUUAUUUUUUUCAAUUAUUACUUGUGAGUUUAUACAUUAUUGGUGGAUUUGGUGGAUUUAACCUUUCUAUACAAUUUUCUGAGUUUGUGUUCUACCUAUGGAAUUCUAGAAUCAUGGAAUAAUCAUGAAUGCUGCUUCGCUUGUUUUUCUAUAUUUCCCCUCUUGAAGAAACUGAAUAAAAAACGUGCCCCCCAUCUUCUUUCGUAGUCCCCUCAUGUGGGAAUAUCCAUGGUUCUACCCAAUGAAUAAUUAAAUUAGAUCGUGAAUCAUCAAGUAUUUUCAGGUUUCAUUAUGCUUAAUUAUAUAUUUCAUAUUAGAAUAAAAGUAUAUUCAUUGGUAAUUUAUAUUCUGAAAAUCUUUAAAUGAAUAUACUCAUAUAAUAGCUCCUGGAUCAUUACAUGAUUUAAGUGCUUUCAGUGAAGUGACUCAUUAAAAAUUGUACAAAACAAAACUGAUUUACAACCAGUACUUGCAGGGCUACUGCAGCAAACGCCAAGUCCUCUUCAGACCCUCAUCUAUGGUCAUAGUCCGCUCCCUUACCGUCAUGAUGAAGCAUGGGUACAUUGGAGAAUUUGAGGUCGUCGAUGAUCACCGUGGUGGCAAGAUUGUCGUUAAUCUUACUGGGCGUUUAAACAAGUGUGGAGUUAUCUCCCCAAGAUUUGAUGUUGGUAUCAAGGAUAUUGAAAA